Pyrus x bretschneideri (Chinese white pear) is the source of this 292-nucleotide long non-coding RNA. RefSeq lists it as uncharacterized. Lineage: Eukaryota; Viridiplantae; Streptophyta; Magnoliopsida; Rosales; Rosaceae. The record is from RefSeq and is a predicted model, not a curated record. The transcript has 2 exons.
GAGGAAUCGUUGAGGGGAAGACCGGGUUAUGAGCAUCUGAAUGAUCCACUGCACAUUAUAAUUGAGGCUGAAUUGCCUGCUAAUAUUGUUGAUAUGCGGUUGAGACAGGCAAAACAAAUCAUAGAAGAACUUCUCAAACCUAUGGAUGAGUCACAAGACCACUACGAGGGAACAAUUGAGAGAACUAGCUAUGCUGAAAUCCAAUUUACGAGAAGAGAGCCCUCAACCAUAUGGUAGUGUCUCUCCUUUCACUUCAAGCGGGAUGAAGCGUGCCAAAACUGGUCUGUAAUGG